UUCAGCCUUAGACCUGUUGCAGGUAGGAGCUGCAGCAUCAGAUGCUGCCAGGCUGUAUUCUGGCUUAAAAUCCAUAGCUGGAUCACAGGCAGUUUGCCUUUUGUGGCCAGUGUAGCUCCUGUUAGCAUCCUCCUCGGCUGCCAGCCAGGUGUCGCUGCUGGGUGCAUCGCUGCUGGGUGCACUGCUGUGUGUGUGCCGCAAGGUGAAGUGCUUUGUUGCUGUAUCGCUGCUGCACUAUUGUAGGGCCACUGUCCUAGGUGGUGCCUUUCAUGGUGGUGCUGCUGAUUCUUGGUGAGCCUCGCUGCAGAAUUUGAUCCUGCGUAGUUCCAUUGUCCGCUGUCUGCCAGCAAGAUUGGAACGACGGGAGCCGGUCAGUCUGCUUGGGUGUUCCACUCCACGCACCUUGCUGACUCCAGGAAUCCUGCACUCCACGUGGUAACUUGCUUCACGCCGGGACGGAGCAUCAGAGCUGGUCCACUGCGACAGAGACUCUCUUGCAGCUCACCCAGGGGAUUGAGUGUGACUCACCUGUACAGCGUUUGGAACCUUACUUUUGUAUUAUUAAUAAUAGCAUUUUAAAUACUGUCAAUGUAAUAAAGAUUUGUAUUUUUCAUAUUAUUUGUCUCAGUCUUCCUGGCUGGAGAGUCCUGCACUACUCUGGUUUUUAGUUUUCUGGUGGCUUGGGGAAAACCAUAAU
Long non-coding RNA from Oryzias melastigma (Indian medaka), 697 nucleotides. RefSeq lists it as uncharacterized. The record is from RefSeq and is a predicted model, not a curated record. NCBI's taxonomy places the organism in Eukaryota, Metazoa, Chordata, Actinopteri, Beloniformes, Adrianichthyidae. The transcript has 3 exons.